This 329-nucleotide unclassified non-coding RNA is filed under the name soil metagenome. Its description in RNAcentral is "partial contains 5.8S ribosomal RNA, internal transcribed spacer 2, and large subunit ribosomal RNA". The stretch from base 1 to 120 matches the Rfam family "5.8S ribosomal RNA", at positions 35 to 154 of the family's 154-position model. The record is from RNAcentral.
GAUGAAGAACGCAGCGAAAUGCGAUAAGUAGUGUGAAUUGCAGAAUUCAGUGAAUCAUCGAAUCUUUGAACGCACAUUGCGCCCCUUGGUAUCCCGAGGGGCAUGCCUGUUCAAGCGUCAUUUCACCACUCAAGCCUGGCUUGGUGUUGGGCGACGUCCCCUUUGGGGACGCGCCUCGAAACGCUCGGCGGCGUGGCACCGGCUUUAAGCGUAGCAGAAUCUUUCGCUUUGGAAGUCGGGGCCCCGUCUGCCGGAAGACCUACUCGCAAGGUUGACCUCGGAUCAGGCAGGGAUACCCGCUGAACUUAAGCAUAUCAAUAAGCGGAGGA